CGAGCCCCCCGCGCGCCUGCCGGGGCCUUCGGGGCGGGAGGUUCCGGCGUCGCGCUCGGCUUUCUCUUCCCGCCCGCCCGACCGCUCGAAGCUCGGUGCGGCCUGAGCCGAGAGAUUUCUCCCCUGAACCGUGAACGGACAAAGAGGCUGCCGCAGCAAGUAAAACAAAACUUGGACGGCUUCACGUCGAGCCCCGCAAGCGGCUGAGGGAAGAGCAUGAGCAUGAAGUCUGGGGCAUGGAACAGCAUGUGACAGUGGGACCCCCGGGAGUGAGUAAGAACAAGAGUAACCUCAGAAGAAGCAUGGCAGCACCAUGGCUGGAAAGGUCACCUGACACCAGCAAAUAUGAAACCUGCUCUCUCUACUUCAUGACAGAAUAUGAUGAAAUUUG
Molecule: long non-coding RNA, 391 nt
Organism: Heterocephalus glaber (naked mole-rat)
Lineage: Eukaryota; Metazoa; Chordata; Mammalia; Rodentia; Bathyergidae
Source: Ensembl